Molecule: ribosomal RNA, 470 nt
Filed under: uncultured Glomus
Lineage: Eukaryota; Fungi; Glomeromycota; Glomeromycetes; Glomerales; Glomeraceae
Description: SSU rRNA
Rfam family: Eukaryotic small subunit ribosomal RNA
Source: RNAcentral
AGCAGCCGCGGUAAUUCCAGCUCCAAUAGCGUAUAUUAAAGUUGUUGCAGUUAAAAAGCUCGUAGUUGAAUUUCGGGAUCAAUAUGUCGGUCGUGCCAUUGGUACGUACUGGUAUCAUUGAUUUCUCCCUUCUGACGAACCAUGAUGUCAUUAAUUUGGUGUUAUGGGGAGUUAGGACUGUUACUUUGAAAAAAUUAGAGUGUUUAAAGCAGGCAUUAGCUUGAAUACAUUAGCAUGGAAUAAUGAAAUAGGACGUUUGACCCUAUUUUGUUGGUUUCUAGGAUCGACGUAAUGAUUAAUAGGGAUAGUUGGGGGCAUUAGUAUUCAAUUGUCAGAGGUGAAAUUCUUGGAUUUAUUGAAGACUAACUACUGCGAAAGCAUUUGCCAAGGAUGUUUUCAUUAAUCAAGAACGAAAGUUAGGGGAUCGAAGACGAUCAGAUACCGUCGUAGUCUAAACCAUAAACUAUGCC